AUGGUGCAAUAUCCGAGCUUGUAUAGGAUUGUUAGACAUAAAUUCGUCACAAUCAAACAAGUUUUAGGACAAGAAAACCCUGAUAUUUCUUUUCGUAGGGACCUUUUUGGCCCUCGCCUGGCAGCAUGGAAUGAAUUACUCACUCGCCUGGAGGACAUUCAACUGUCAGGUGAGCCGGACAUUUUUCGAUGGAACUUGCAUCUGAAUGGCGAAUUUUCAGUAAAAUCCAUGUAUGAUGCAAUGGUUCAUUGUGAUGUUCCAGUUGAUAACAGGAAAUUGUGGAAGCUCAAAAUCCCUCUAAGAGUGAAGAUUUUCCUCUGGUUUCUUAACAGAGGAGUCAUCCUAACUAGAGACAAUCUGGCACGACGAAACUGGCAUGGUUCCAAGACAUGUGUCUUUUGCCAACAUGACGAGUCUAUUAAACACUUAUUUUUUGAGUGUAAGUUCGCUCGGGCAGUUUGGGCCAUAGUUCAAGUAGCUUCGAAUCUAUACCCACCAUGUAGUGCACGGAACAUGUUCGGCAACUGGUUCCGGGGUAUUGAUAAACAAUUUUCUGCACAUAUUCUUGUGGGAGCGGCGGCCUUAUGCUGGGCACUGUGGCUUACCAGGAAUGAUGUGGUUUUUAAUAACAAAUGUGUCUCAUCUCUAUGCAGGUUAUUCAUGUGUGUACACGAUGGCUCCGUACUUGGUCUAUCCUACAGAGGCCGGAGGACAUAG
RNAcentral lists this ribosomal RNA (717 nucleotides) under Triticum aestivum (bread wheat). Its description in RNAcentral is "partial small subunit ribosomal RNA". Lineage: Eukaryota; Viridiplantae; Streptophyta; Magnoliopsida; Poales; Poaceae. The record is from RNAcentral.